This 337-nucleotide unclassified non-coding RNA is filed under the name soil metagenome. RNAcentral's name for it is "partial contains 5.8S ribosomal RNA, internal transcribed spacer 2, and large subunit ribosomal RNA". The stretch from base 1 to 120 matches the Rfam family "5.8S ribosomal RNA", at positions 35 to 154 of the family's 154-position model. The record is from RNAcentral.
GAUGAAGAACGUAGCGAAAUGCGAUAAGUAAUGUGAAUUGCAGAAUUCAGUGAAUCAUCGAAUCUUUGAACGCACAUUGCGCCCCUUGGUAUUCCGAGGGGCAUGCCUGUUCGAGCGUCAUUACACCACUCAAGCUAUGCUUGGUAUUGGGCGUCGUCCUUAGUUGGGCGCGCCUUAAAGACCUCGGCGAGGCCACUCCGGCUUUAGGCGUAGUAGAAUUUAUUCGAACGUCUGUCAAAGGAGAGGAACUCUGCCGACUGAAACCUUUAUUUUUCUAGGUUGACCUCGGAUCGGGUAGGGAUACCCGCUGAACUUAAGCAUAUCAAUAAGCGGAGGA